CACAGCACGAGAGACCUCUAGUGCCACAGUCCCCACCGUUCCCUAUGGCCCCACCUUAGGCCUGCUUCUCCUGCACCCCUGUCUCCCCGACUGCCAGGGUAGACUCAGGAGGUGCUUCUGGCUGGCAUUCAUGAGCCUUCAGUUCUGGCUUCGGUCAACCCUACAGAAAACCCACUGAUAACUCACGGGCCCUAGCAUCUCACCUCCCAUACUCUUCUCUAAUGAAAUACCCAGAAAACCACAAACCCCAUCUCAGCCUCUCUGUACCUGGGGCCUGUCCUCACUGGUGCUGUCGCUCUUAGCACAGGAGAAGCAAGUGGGUGGCCGAGGCUUCCGCGCCCCACCUGACCGCCCUUCCCUGCUCAUCCCUGGCCCCUGCCACCUGCUUGGUGCAGGUGCUGGCAACUGGCGACUGGGAGUGGGGUGCCUAUUGCUGAGGCUUUAGAGGCUGUAGAGGGGAUCGCUGUGGCAGGAACAUUCUUCCAGGAGAGGCACACCUGGGUUGCAGGUGGCUCCUGGGGCUGCAGGAGAGUGGGCAGGUACAAGGUUCACUGGCCUCACAGGCCCUGCUAUGUCCUGAACCCUGCACACCCCUAGUUUCCCAGCGGUUCCUUCGGCCACGCUUCAGUCAAGGCUUUCCACCCUCUUGUGAUGCUGUCCAGCUGCCCUCUUGGAGCUCAGAAGUCUUCUUUCAUUUAUAGCAGAUCCCCGCUGCAUGUUCGGCCACUGGAAACUGGAUGGGCCUGCGGAGAUGCUGCAGGCCCUGAAAUGAGAACCCUAUUUGCGGUGAGCCCUCCAGCUGGUCAUCUGUCCCUGCUUCUUUCAGGAGAGCCUGGCUGCCUAUGUCAACCAGAGGGGGCACCUCAGCAAGGAGACUAGGAAGACCUAUCCAAGGGAAAACCCAGAGAGAGGGCAAAGUGAGCACAGGUAGCCCGGGGAAUGAAGAAGGCUGCUCACUCCAGACUGCCCCCAGCCACACCUGGACACACUGCUCUUUGAGGCUGAACCUCCCACCCUCUUUCCUCACCUGCAGUUUGAGAAGAUAAGAGCUGCCUGUGUAACUGGGAGGCCCAGGGUAGGUGUGAAUGUGCUUUCAAAUGUUUUAUUUUUAAAAGCACUACGAAAAUAUGAGGUGUGAUUAAUC
Molecule: long non-coding RNA, 1144 nt
Filed under: Chinchilla lanigera (long-tailed chinchilla)
Lineage: Eukaryota; Metazoa; Chordata; Mammalia; Rodentia; Chinchillidae
Description: lncRNA (ENSCLAG00000027570.1)
Source: RNAcentral